GACGAACGCUGGCGGGAUGCCUUACACAUGCAAGUCGAACGGAGUGGCGAUCGGGUGAGUAAUGUAUCGGACCGUGCCCCGUCGCGGGGGAUAACUACGCGAAAGCGUAGCUAAUACCGCAUACUAUUGGAGCCGCCGAUAUCGGAUUAGCUAGUUGGUGGGGUAACGGCUCACCAAGGCGACGAUCCGUAGCUGGUUUGAGAGGACGACCAGCCACACUGGGACUGAGACACGGCCCAGACUCCUACGGGAGGCAGCAGUGGGGAAUUUUGGACAAUGGGCGAAACCCUGAUUCAGCCAUGCCGCGUGGACGAUGAAGGCCUUCGGGUUGUAAAGUACUUUUGGCAGGAAAGCGGUACCUGCAGAAGAAGCACCGGCUAACUACGUGCCAGCAGCCGCGGUAAUUC
Molecule: ribosomal RNA, 407 nt
Filed under: uncultured bacterium
Lineage: Bacteria
Description: partial 16S ribosomal RNA
Rfam family: Bacterial small subunit ribosomal RNA
Source: RNAcentral